AGAUGUGAGGGUGAUCUGGCUAUGACAUCUGUCACCCCACUGAUCGCCAGGGUUGACUGACUGGCUAGGUGGGUGUCCCCUUCCUCCCUCACCAUCCCAAGUGAUAUGCAUCCGUCCCGAAGCUGCAGACUGGGUCAAAGAGGAUGACCAUUCCCAAAAGAGUAGAACCCUUCAGUAAAGGGUACACCCAGUUGCUACAGUACACCCAGUAGCUGCGCUACCCUGCUAGAACCUCCAAACAAAGAGCCAACUUCUACCGCUUAAUGCCAUGCUGGUUGCAUUCCAAC
This 287-nucleotide small nuclear RNA is filed under the name Callithrix jacchus (white-tufted-ear marmoset). RNAcentral's name for it is "7SK RNA". It matches the Rfam family "7SK RNA". From Rfam's summary of the family: 7SK was discovered as an abundant small nuclear RNA in the mid-70s but a possible function has only recently been suggested. Two independent studies have found that 7SK RNA binds the CDK9/cyclin T complex (known as elongation factor P-TEFb). Lineage: Eukaryota; Metazoa; Chordata; Mammalia; Primates; Cebidae. The record is from Rfam by way of RNAcentral.